GCACUGCUGAAGAGUCCCAAACUAGGACGAAACAGUUGUCCAGUAC
Trichobilharzia regenti is the source of this 46-nucleotide non-coding RNA. Lineage: Eukaryota; Metazoa; Platyhelminthes; Trematoda; Strigeidida; Schistosomatidae. The record is from Rfam.